AUUGAACGCUGGCGGCAUGCCUUACACAUGCAAGUCGAACGGUAACGCGGGGCAACCUGGCGACGAGUGGCGAACGGGUGAGUAAUGCAUCGGAACGUGCCCAGUAGUGGGGGAUAGCCCGGCGAAAGCCGGAUUAAUACCGCAUACGACCUACGGGUGAAAGCGGGGGACCGUAAGGCCUCGCGCUAUUGGAGCGGCCGAUGUCAGAUUAGGUAGUUGGUGGGGUAAAGGCCUACCAAGCCUUCGAUCUGUAGCUGGUCUGAGAGGACGACCAGCCACACUGGGACUGAGACACGGCCCAGACUCCUACGGGAGGCAGCAGUGGGGAAUUUUCGGACAAUGGGCGCAAGCCUGAUCCAGCCAUGCCGCGUGCGGGAA
Molecule: ribosomal RNA, 378 nt
Filed under: uncultured bacterium
Lineage: Bacteria
Description: bacterial SSU rRNA
Rfam family: Bacterial small subunit ribosomal RNA
Source: RNAcentral